Molecule: ribosomal RNA, 1488 nt
Filed under: Triticum aestivum (bread wheat)
Lineage: Eukaryota; Viridiplantae; Streptophyta; Magnoliopsida; Poales; Poaceae
Description: partial small subunit ribosomal RNA
Source: RNAcentral
AUGAUAUUGAGGAGUACAGCAGUAACACGAGCAAAUUCAGCCUUUCUUCGUAUGGAGGAACGUGUUGAUUUCAAGUAUGACGGUGUCAACAACGAGAGCAAAGAGCGUAAGGGAGGGCAUGGCAUCCCAAAGGUUUCCAUGGUCCCACUUGUCUUCCUCAUAUUCUAUGAAGUCUCAGGAGGUCCCUUUGGGAUUGAGGAUAGUGUCAAGGCUGCUGGACCACUCCUGGCAAUUGUGGGGUUUCUUCUGUUUGCGCUCAUAUGGAGUAUUCCAGAAGUCCUAAUCACUGCUGAGAUGGGUACUAUGUUUCCUGAGAAUGGUGGCUAUGUCGUCUGGGUCUCUUCAGCUCUUGGGCCCUUUUGGGGUUUUCAGCAAGGCUGGGCAAAGUGGCUCAGCGGUGUCAUAGAUAAUGCUCUCUAUCCAGUCCUUUUUCUUGACUAUGUCAAGUCCAGUGUCCCAGCUCUCGGGGGUGGGCUUCCAAGGACUUUUGCGGUGCUUAUCCUCACAGUUGCCCUUACUUACAUGAACUACAGAGGAUUGACGAUAGUUGGCUGGGUGGCAGUCUUUCUUGGGGUGUUCUCUCUGCUCCCUUUCUUUGUAAUGGGAUUGAUAGCGAUUCCACACAUUGAACCUUCAAGAUGGUUUGAAAUGGACCUGGACAAUGUGAAUUGGGGCCUGUAUCUAAACACUCUGUUUUGGAACCUCAACUACUGGGAUUCAAUCAGUACAUUGGCUGGAGAGGUUGAGAAUCCAAAGAGAACCCUCCCCAGGGCACUUUCUUAUGCUCUUGUUUUAGUAGUCGGGGGAUACCUCUACCCUCUGAUCACCUGUACAGCAGCACUUCCGGUUGUUCGGGAGUCGUGGACAGACGGAUAUUUUUCAGACAUUGCAAAGAUUCUUGGUGGUUUCUGGUUGCACUCGUGGAUUCAAGCGGCGGCCGCAUUGUCAAACAUGGGCAACUUUGUUACUGAAAUGAGCAGUGAUUCUUACCAGCUUCUCGGGAUGGCUGAGCGUGGCAUGCUCCCUGAGUUCUUCGCCAAGAGAUCACGCUACGGGACCCCGCUGAUCGGCAUCCUGUUCUCGGCGUUCGGCGUGGUCCUGCUGUCCUGGAUGAGCUUCCAGGAGAUCAUUGCCGCGGAGAACUACCUCUACUGCUUCGGGAUGAUAUUGGAGUUCAUCGCCUUCAUCAAGCUGAGGAUGACCCACCCUAGCACCUCCCGGCCUUUCCGGAUCCCGCUGGGCACCGUUGGCUCCGUCCUGAUGAUCGUCCCUCCGACCAUCCUGAUCGUCGUGGUGAUGGCGCUGGCUUCCUUCAAGGUGAUGGCUGUGAGCGUCCUGGCGGUGCUCGUCGGGUUUGCGCUGCAACCGGCCCUGGUGUACAUGGAGAAGAAGCGGUGGCUGAGGUUCUCCGUCAGAGAGGACCUGCCCGAUCUGCUGGAGUCCUCGUCCGGCGCCGCCCAAGAUGACACCACCCCCCUCGUGGUCUGA